RNAcentral lists this transfer RNA (64 nucleotides) under Vanhornia eucnemidarum. Its description in RNAcentral is "tRNA-Cys". The record is from RNAcentral. Lineage: Eukaryota; Metazoa; Arthropoda; Insecta; Hymenoptera; Vanhorniidae.
AGUUUUAUAAUUUAUUAAAAAUAUUAAAUUGCAAAUUUGAAAAAAAAAUUAUUUUUUAAAACUU